UGCGGAAGGAUCAUUACCGAGUGUAGGGUUCCUAGCGAGCCCAACCUCCCACCCGUGUUUACUGUACCUUAGUUGCUUCGGCGGGCCCGCCAUUCGUGGCCGCCGGGGGCUCUCAGCCCCGGGCCCGCGCCCGCCGGAGACACCACGAACUCUGUCUGAUCUAGUGAAGUCUGAGUUGAUUGUAUCGCAAUCAGUUAAAACUUUCAACAAUGGAUCUCUUGGUUCCGGCAUCGAUGAAGAACGCAGCGAAAUGCGAUAACUAGUGUGAAUUGCAGAAUUCCGUGAAUCAUCGAGUCUUUGAACGCACAUUGCGCCCCCUGGUAUUCCGGGGGGCAUGCCUGUCCGAGCGUCAUUGCUGCCCAUCAAGCACGGCUUGUGUGUUGGGUCGUCGUCCCCUCUCCGGGGGGGACGGGCCCCAAAGGCAGCGGCGGCACCGCGUCCGAUCCUCGAGCGUAUGGGGCUUUGUCACCCGCUCUGUAGGCCCGGCCGGCGCUUGCCGAACGCAAAUCAAUCUUUUUCCAGGUUGACCUCGGAUCAGGUAGGGAUACCCGCUGAACUUUAGCAUAUCAA
This 570-nucleotide ribosomal RNA is filed under the name Aspergillus flavus. Its description in RNAcentral is "eukaryotic LSU rRNA". The stretch from base 199 to 352 matches the Rfam family "5.8S ribosomal RNA". Lineage: Eukaryota; Fungi; Ascomycota; Eurotiomycetes; Eurotiales; Aspergillaceae. The record is from RNAcentral.